RNAcentral lists this transfer RNA (61 nucleotides) under Ixodes ovatus. RNAcentral's name for it is "tRNA-Gly". Lineage: Eukaryota; Metazoa; Arthropoda; Arachnida; Ixodida; Ixodidae. The record is from RNAcentral.
GUUUAAUUAGUAUAAUUAGUACAUUUAAUUUCCAAUUAAAAAGAUUUUUUUAAAUUAAACA